Molecule: ribosomal RNA, 2892 nt
Filed under: Pseudomonas syringae pv. syringae CRAFRU11
Lineage: Bacteria; Pseudomonadati; Pseudomonadota; Gammaproteobacteria; Pseudomonadales; Pseudomonadaceae
Description: bacterial LSU rRNA
Rfam family: Bacterial large subunit ribosomal RNA
Source: RNAcentral
UCAAGUGAAGAAGCGCAUACGGUGGAUGCCUUGGCAGUCAGAGGCGAUGAAAGACGUGGUAGCCUGCGAAAAGCUUCGGGGAGUCGGCAAACAGACUGUGAUCCGGAGAUGUCUGAAUGGGGGAACCCAGCCAUCAUAAGAUGGUUAUCUUGUACUGAAUACAUAGGUGCAAGAGGCGAACCAGGGGAACUGAAACAUCUAAGUACCCUGAGGAAAAGAAAUCAACCGAGAUUCCCUUAGUAGUGGCGAGCGAACGGGGACCAGCCCUUAAGUUGUAUUGAGAUUAGCGGAACGUUCUGGAAAGGACGGCCAUAGUGGGUGAUAGCCCUGUACGCGAAAAUCCCUUUGCAAUGAAAUCGAGUAGGACGGGGCACGAGAAACCUUGUCUGAAUAUGGGGGGACCAUCCUCCAAGGCUAAAUACUACUGACUGACCGAUAGUGAACCAGUACCGUGAGGGAAAGGCGAAAAGAACCGCGGAGAGCGGAGUGAAAUAGAUCCUGAAACCGUAUGCGUACAAGCAGUGGGAGCCCACUUUGUUGGGUGACUGCGUACCUUUUGUAUAAUGGGUCAGCGACUUAUUUUCAGUGGCGAGCUUAACCGAAUAGGGGAGGCGUAGCGAAAGCGAGUCUUAAUAGGGCGUCUAGUCGCUGGGAAUAGACCCGAAACCGGGCGAUCUAUCCAUGGGCAGGUUGAAGGUUGGGUAACACUAACUGGAGGACCGAACCGACUACCGUUGAAAAGUUAGCGGAUGACCUGUGGAUCGGAGUGAAAGGCUAAUCAAGCUCGGAGAUAGCUGGUUCUCCUCGAAAGCUAUUUAGGUAGCGCCUCAUGUAUCACUGUAGGGGGUAGAGCACUGUUUCGGCUAGGGGGUCAUCCCGACUUACCAAACCGAUGCAAACUCCGAAUACCUACAAGUGCCGAGCAUGGGAGACACACGGCGGGUGCUAACGUCCGUCGUGAAAAGGGAAACAACCCAGACCGUCAGCUAAGGUCCCAAAGUCAUGGUUAAGUGGGAAACGAUGUGGGAAGGCUUAGACAGCUAGGAGGUUGGCUUAGAAGCAGCCACCCUUUAAAGAAAGCGUAAUAGCUCACUAGUCGAGUCGGCCUGCGCGGAAGAUGUAACGGGGCUCAAACCAUGCACCGAAGCUACGGGUAUCAUCUUUUGAUGAUGCGGUAGAGGAGCGUUCUGUAAGCCUGUGAAGGUGAGUUGAGAAGCUUGCUGGAGGUAUCAGAAGUGCGAAUGCUGACAUGAGUAACGACAAUGGGUGUGAAAAACACCCACGCCGAAAGACCAAGGUUUCCUGCGCAACGUUAAUCGACGCAGGGUUAGUCGGUCCCUAAGGCGAGGCUGAAAAGCGUAGUCGAUGGAAAACAGGUUAAUAUUCCUGUACUUCUGGUUAUUGCGAUGGAGGGACGGAGAAGGCUAGGCCAGCCUGGCGUUGGUUGUCCAGGUUUAAGGUGGUAGGCUGAGAUCUUAGGUAAAUCCGGGAUCUUAAGGCCGAGAGCUGAUGACGAGUGUUCUUUUAGAACACGAAGUGGUUGAUGCCAUGCUUCCAAGAAAAGCUUCUAAGCUUCAGGUAACCAGGAACCGUACCCCAAACCGACACAGGUGGUUGGGUAGAGAAUACCAAGGCGCUUGAGAGAACUCGGGUGAAGGAACUAGGCAAAAUGGCACCGUAACUUCGGGAGAAGGUGCGCCGGUGGAGGUGAAGCAUUUACUGCGUAAGCCCCUGCCGGUCGAAGAUACCAGGCCGCUGCGACUGUUUAUUAAAAACACAGCACUCUGCAAACACGAAAGUGGACGUAUAGGGUGUGACGCCUGCCCGGUGCCGGAAGGUUAAUUGAUGGGGUUAGCGCAAGCGAAGCUCUUGAUCGAAGCCCCGGUAAACGGCGGCCGUAACUAUAACGGUCCUAAGGUAGCGAAAUUCCUUGUCGGGUAAGUUCCGACCUGCACGAAUGGCGUAACGAUGGCGGCGCUGUCUCCACCCGAGACUCAGUGAAAUUGAAAUCGCUGUGAAGAUGCAGUGUAUCCGCGGCUAGACGGAAAGACCCCGUGAACCUUUACUAUAGCUUUGCACUGGACUUUGAAUUUGCUUGUGUAGGAUAGGUGGGAGGCUUUGAAGCGUGGACGCCAGUCUGCGUGGAGCCAACCUUGAAAUACCACCCUGGCAACUUUGAGGUUCUAACUCAGGUCCGUUAUCCGGAUCGAGGACAGUGUAUGGUGGGUAGUUUGACUGGGGCGGUCUCCUCCUAAAGAGUAACGGAGGAGUACGAAGGUGCGCUCAGACCGGUCGGAAAUCGGUCGUAGAGUAUAAAGGCAAAAGCGCGCUUGACUGCGAGACAGACACGUCGAGCAGGUACGAAAGUAGGUCUUAGUGAUCCGGUGGUUCUGUAUGGAAGGGCCAUCGCUCAACGGAUAAAAGGUACUCCGGGGAUAACAGGCUGAUACCGCCCAAGAGUUCAUAUCGACGGCGGUGUUUGGCACCUCGAUGUCGGCUCAUCACAUCCUGGGGCUGAAGCCGGUCCCAAGGGUAUGGCUGUUCGCCAUUUAAAGUGGUACGCGAGCUGGGUUUAGAACGUCGUGAGACAGUUCGGUCCCUAUCUGCCGUGGACGUUUGAGAUUUGAGAGGGGCUGCUCCUAGUACGAGAGGACCGGAGUGGACGAACCUCUGGUGUUCCGGUUGUCACGCCAGUGGCAUUGCCGGGUAGCUAUGUUCGGAAAAGAUAACCGCUGAAAGCAUCUAAGCGGGAAACUUGCCUCAAGAUGAGAUCUCACUGGAACCUUGAGUUCCCUAAAGGGCCGUCGAAGACUACGACGUUGAUAGGUUGGGUGUGUAAGCGCUGUGAGGCGUUGAGCUAACCAAUACUAAUUGCCCGUGAGGCUUGACCAU